Molecule: long non-coding RNA, 686 nt
Filed under: Mus spretus (western wild mouse)
Lineage: Eukaryota; Metazoa; Chordata; Mammalia; Rodentia; Muridae
Description: lncRNA (ENSMSPG00010033378.1)
Source: RNAcentral
CUGCAUUUUGCAUGAGCUAUCUAGGUCAUUAGCAUUUUAGCGUAUGCAAGACUUGACAAGGCUGAUGAGGGGCCAGAUGGGCCUCGCUCUUAUUUAUUUUUUUUUUUUCUUUUCCUUUUUCCCAUCCACCACUUGGGACCUAAGCGAGAGGACCGCAGCAGGAGAGUUCCGGAAGGCUGAUUCCCACAGAUCCUGGUAAGGGACCGCAGCAGCUCUGCCCUGCGGCACGCCCGGCCAGGCUACACCCGGACUCUACACUCAAGGAAAAAGCUUGGAAACGAAAGGAUGCGGGAGAACAAAGAGCCUACGGAGGACGUGGCUGUUAUCUCAUUGUCUGUGACUGGGGGAGCUGCGGUAGGAAGGAUGCGGUGGUCCUUAGCUCAUCGCGUUCCCCAACCCCACACCCUCCCUGCUGUCAGUGCGCACGCACACGCACGCGUCGCCAGCUUUUUCUUUCUCAUCUCUCAUUUUUUUCAUCUCAUCUUCUCCCCAUCCCCUCCCUUUCUUUCCACCUUUCCUUCCUUUCUUCCUCCCUUCCUUUCUCCCAUCCUCCCUCCCUCUCUUCCAUCCUUCCUUCCUUUCCAUCCUUCCUUCUUUCUUUCCUUCCUUCCUUCUUUCUUUCCUUCCUUCCUUCUUCCUUCCUCAGGAGAAAGGCCUCUCUCUCCGUGUUCACAGCGGACCUUGAU